CUGCAGUCGAGCGACAGAUAAGGAGCUUGCUCCUUUGACGUUAGCGGCGGACGGGUGAGUAACACGUGGGUAACCUACCCUAUAAGUCUGGGAUAACUCCGGGAAACCGGGGCUAAUGCCGGAUAACAUUUAGAACCGCAUGGUUCUAAAGUGAAAGAUGGUUUCGCUAUCACUUAUAGAUGGACCCGCGCCGCAUUAGCUAGUUGGUAAGGUAACGGCUUACCAAGGCGACGAUACGUAGCCGACCUGAGAGGGUGAUCGGCCACACUGGAACUGACACACGGCCCAGACUCCUACGGGAGGCAGCAGUAGGGAAUCUUCCGCAAUGGGGGAAAGCCUGACGGAGCAACGCCGCGUGAGUGAUGAAGGUUUUCGGAUCGUAAAACUCUGUUAUUAGGGAAGAACAAAUGUGCAAGUAACUGUGCUCGUCUUGACGGUACCUAAUUAGAAAGCCACGGCUAACUACGUGCCAGCAACCGCGGUAAUACGUAGGUGGCAAGCGUUAUCCGGAAUUAUUGGGCGUAAAGCGCGCGCAGGCGGUCCCUUAGGUCUGAUGUGAAAGCCCACGGCUCAUCCNUGGAGGGUCAUUGGAAACUGGGAGACUUGUGUGCAM
RNAcentral lists this ribosomal RNA (613 nucleotides) under Staphylococcus sp. LAMA 616. RNAcentral's name for it is "bacterial SSU rRNA". It matches the Rfam family "Bacterial small subunit ribosomal RNA", at positions 55 to 651 of the family's 1533-position model. Lineage: Bacteria; Bacillati; Bacillota; Bacilli; Caryophanales; Staphylococcaceae. The record is from RNAcentral.